GUCUAUGGCCAUACCACCCUGUACGCGCCCAAUCUCCUCUGAUCUGGGAAGCUAAGCAGGGUUGGGCCUGGUUAGUACUUGGAUGGGAGAACAUUUAGGCUAUCCUGCCUCUCGGAAAUU
Molecule: ribosomal RNA, 120 nt
Filed under: Heterocephalus glaber (naked mole-rat)
Lineage: Eukaryota; Metazoa; Chordata; Mammalia; Rodentia; Bathyergidae
Source: RNAcentral